UAAGCGGAGGAAAAGAAACUAACAAGGAUUCCCCUAGUAACUGCGAGUGAAGCGGGAAAAGCUCAAAUUUAAAAUCUGGCAGUCUUUGAUUGUCCGAGUUGUAAACUAGAGAAGUGUUAUCCGNGCUGGACCGUGUAAAAGUCUCCUGGAAUGGAGCAUCAUAGAGGGUGAGAAUCCCGUCUUUGACAUGGACUACCAGUGCUUUGUGAUGCGCUCUCAAAGAGUCGAGUUGUUUGGGAAUGCAGCUCAAAAUGGGUGGUAAAUUCCAUCUAAAGCUAAAUAUUGGCGAGAGACCGAUAGCGAACAAGUACCGUGAGGGAAAGAUGAAAAGAACUUUGGAAAGAGAGUUAAACAGUACGUGAAAUUGCUGAAAGGGAAACGCUUGAAGUCAGUCGCGUCGGCCAGGAAUCAACCUUGCUUUUGCUGGGCGUACUUUCUGGUUGACGGGUCAGCAUCAAUUUUGACUGCUGGAAAAAGUUCAAGGGAAUGUGGCAUCUUCGGAUGUGUUAUAGCCCUUGUUCGCAUACAGCAGUUGGGAUUGAGGUACUCAGCACGCCGCAAGGCCGGGUUUCGACCACGUUCGUGCUUAGGAUGCUGGCAUAAUGGCUUUAAUCGACCCGUCUUGAAACACGGACCAAGGAGUCUAACAUGCCUGCGAGUGUUUGGGUGGAAAACCCAAGCGCGCAAUGAAAGUAAAAGUUGAGAUCCCUGUCAUGGGGAGCAUCGACGCCCGGACCAGAGCUUUUGUGACGGAUCUGCGGUAGAGCAUGUAUGUUGGGACCCGAAAGAUGGUGAACUAUGCCUGAAUAGGGUGAAGCCAGAGGAAACUCUGGUGGAGGCUCGUAGCGAUUCUGACGUGCAAAUCGAUCGUCAAAUUUGGGUAUAGGGGCGAAAGACUAAUCGAACCAUCUAGUA
RNAcentral lists this ribosomal RNA (915 nucleotides) under Bolbitius titubans. Its description in RNAcentral is "eukaryotic LSU rRNA". It matches the Rfam family "Eukaryotic large subunit ribosomal RNA", at positions 47 to 949 of the family's 3401-position model. The record is from RNAcentral. Lineage: Eukaryota; Fungi; Basidiomycota; Agaricomycetes; Agaricales; Bolbitiaceae.